RNAcentral lists this long non-coding RNA (2015 nucleotides) under Mytilus galloprovincialis (Mediterranean mussel). Lineage: Eukaryota; Metazoa; Mollusca; Bivalvia; Mytilida; Mytilidae. The record is from RNAcentral.
CUUAACAUUGUGCAUUGGCUGUGAUUUCCCUGCAAGUACAAUAGUUUAGUGGUGAGGCUGUUGUUCAUAUCUAAUUUUACGAUCCUAACACAGUAAUUUGUUUCUCAAAUUGUGCUUUUUUUAUACCAAAAACCAACUAUUUAUCAAAAGAAUAAUCUGCACAUGUAUGACAUUAGCACAAAUGACAAAAAAUGUAUUGGUGUCUUAAGAUGGUACCCAACACUUUCACUAAAAUUAAUUUUUCUCAUUUAAUUUUCAUAAAAUUUUGUCAAAGUAUUUACUUUGAGACUUUAAUGAAAAUAUAAAUUUUUUUUUGAACCAACCAUUUUGUUAUACUAAUGUAUGCAAUGUAUAUGUUUGCAUUUUGUUUGAUUUCUCAUGAUGAGGGCCUCAGGGAAGAUUAGUUAUAUAGCUAACUGUGUAACCCUCAUAAAAUAAAGUAUUGUUGUUGUUGUUGUUGUUGUUGUCAGAAAAAUUACACUGGUUAUAUAGCAAUUUGACAAACACCAAUUUUGAUCAUUGAGAAGCUUAAUAUUCCUUUUACAACACAACGUAAUUAAAAUGUUAAGCUGACUUUACAGAGUUAUCUCCCUGUAGUGUUAGGUACCACCUUAACUAUAAUUUUGGAUUUUUUUUCGCUUACAAUGUGGAAAACAAGAAAGAAUGCAGAAACAAAUAGAUUUUCUAUUUUCCAUGUUAUGAAGGGCGAUUAAUCUAGAACAGUUAGUGACUUGCCUCCUAUAUUUCAAACUAAGACCUCUGUCUGUUAGUUCUGAUUCUUACCCUUGUGUAUGAGUUUUAUAAAAUUUUGAAGAGAAAAAUUUCAGUUUAGAGUGUUGAGACAAAAUAAAUUACAAUAUUUUCCAGUUAUGAAGAGGCAUAACUCUAAACCAAGAAGUGACUCAGUAACCAAAUUCAAACUCUGAGUAUUGUGUACGAGUUUCAAAAAAUUUGGAUGAAGAAUACCUAAGUUAGAGUUGGGGAUAGGAAAAUGGGAAGGACAGAUAAUAGGAAGACAUAAUAAAAUACCAUGCUCUUAUUUUCUCAAUUUAUUUGCAGUAAAAUUAUUCUCUAUGUUUAGGAUUAAAAUAAUUUGGGAUCUACUUGGUUCUUAAAUGUAGAGUAAAUAAGUAAGUUUUAUGAACACAAGACACACAUACCACUGGACUGUUUGGACCAAAAUAGCUUGCUUCACAAAUUAUAAGUAAGAAUUUCAUCCAGAAAAAAUAUAUGAAAGCAUUAAAAUUAUUCACAGCCUAUUUAUGGUAUCAUUUUACCUCAAUUGUUUCAACUAGGGGAGAAAAAAACACACCUAAAUUUCUAUAAUUGCACUUUAUUAAUUCUACAAAAAUACAAUGAAAAAGAAUACAAAAACUAUUAAAUUUGAAAAAUUAUAUGUUGUUUAUAUUCAAAUGAAAUUAUCCGAAAACAUUUUCUUGCAUUUUUUUUUGCCUCAUCCCAUCAGAAGUUUAUAUAUAACUCUGAUCUUGUAGUAUUUAGCAAAAUUCUCUCCUGCAUAACUAUGCUAACUAGGCAUCUUCAUGAAUGUUUAGUUUAAUCAAAAUGUCAAAAAUAGAAACCUUCCCAUAAUGCAAUACAAUUUCUUAAUCACUUCAUUGACAAAACAGUAAAAUAUCUUUGUUAUAUUCCUUUAUAUAUAUAUAUAUAACAACCCAACAAUGUUAGAUCUGUAAAUUUGCUUUCGCAUCUAACAUUGUUGGGUUGAUGUUUAGACGAGUUGCAUAUACAUAAUGUACACAGCCAUGUAUCACCAUCAUUGAUAAAUUGAUAAAUCUGUUGUAGAGUUGUCACUGACUCAGACGUAUAUAUUUCACCUUGAGAGAUGCACACGCCUGAUGAAGCUAAUUUGUUUAGCGAAAUAUUGCGUAUUUCUAUUUAACAUCUAAUAGAACUUUUUAAUGUAUUAAUUAGUGUGUUUAAGUUAUAUUCUUAGACAUUUAUAUAAUUUUAAUUCAGUAACUGUAUCAGUUUAUUUUCACAAACUGAUCCACGCU